CAGACUUCAAAAUUUCUCUUCGGUCUCUUCCUCCUCGGAAUGAGAAGUGAUUGAGAUCAUGACUCAUUGCUGUGAUUGCUUUUUGUGGGACUGGCAUGAGAGACAAGAUUACUUUUCUUAAGUGAUGGAAUUCCUCCAGUAGAUUGGGUCAUGUUUGUAGGCAAUGAAUCUAGGAGCUCCUUCGUUGGAUGUCCCUUAUGCUGUCCUUGUAGAGCAGAUUUGCUGCCAUUACCUCUUGGGGCUGCCCAUGACAUACAUUUAUUUAUUUAUUUAUAGCUUUUUCUACAUUUUAAUGUUUAAUUUCUGCCAAACUAGUUUGUUGUGUUCUGUUCAUCGACGACAUUUAAUUUGUUGGUUAAUCUUGUUUCAUGA
Prosopis cineraria is the source of this 372-nucleotide long non-coding RNA. RefSeq lists it as uncharacterized. The transcript has 4 exons. NCBI's taxonomy places the organism in Eukaryota, Viridiplantae, Streptophyta, Magnoliopsida, Fabales, Fabaceae. The record is from RefSeq and is a predicted model, not a curated record.